RNAcentral lists this ribosomal RNA (2550 nucleotides) under Triticum aestivum (bread wheat). RNAcentral describes it as "partial small subunit ribosomal RNA". Lineage: Eukaryota; Viridiplantae; Streptophyta; Magnoliopsida; Poales; Poaceae. The record is from RNAcentral.
AUGUGGCGGCUAAGGAUCGGAGAGGAGGCCGGCGGCGAGCCGUGGCUGCGCACCACCAACGCGCACGCCGGCCGCCAGGUCUGGGAGUUCGACCCCGCUGCCGGCGGCGGCGCCCUGGACGGCGUCGACGACGCGCGCCGCGAGUACUCCGGCCGCCGGCACCAGCUCAAGCACAGCGCCGACCGCCUCAUGCGAUUGCAGGGGCAACGGAAACCACGCAGCGGAACGCAAGGCGCCCGACUGGGCCGGCCAUGGACGAGAGUAGAAUCAAUUCGGAUUAGAGGGGAACCCACGGCCCAUUUCUGUACCUCCGUUCCGCUGCGGCUCUGCCGGAGCCGCCGCGGCUCUGCACUCCCACGGCGGCGGCGAGAUGACGAACCCCGGAGAAGGCUCUACGUGCUCGCAGCGGACGGUCCCCUCCACGGAUUCUGGGCCCUGUCUCACCAGCGCUUCGCCGAGUUGGGUGCUCCCAAGCUGGACGUUCCUGGUAUCAAGCUCCAAGAGCAUGAAGAUGUCACCGAAGAAGCUGUUUUGACCUCUUUAAAGAGGGCAAUUGGACAGUUGUCUGCUCUCCAAGCACAUGAUGGACACUGGCCUGGGGAUAUCGCCGGUCCUAUGUUCCUUCUGCCGGGCUUGGUAAUAGCGCUGCAUUCGACUGGUGCUCUAAAUACUGUCUUAUCGUCAGAGCAUCAGAAGGAGAUACGUCGGUAUCUCUACAAUCAUCAGAACAAAGAUGGAGGCUGGGGAUUGCACAUUGAGGGCCCAAGCACCAUGUUCGGUUCUGUCCUGAACUAUGUUACCUUGAGAUUACUUGGAGAAGGAUCAGAUAGUGAAGAUGGAGCCAUUCAGUUAGCUCAGAAUUGGAUUUUGGAUCAUGGAGGAGCAACCUUUACAACAUCAUGGGGAAAGUUUUGGCUUUCGGUUCUUGGUGUAUUUGACUGGUCUGGUAACAAUCCAUUGCUUCCAGAACUAUGGUUACUUCCAUACUGCCUCCCAUUUCAUCCAGGGCGCAUGUGGUCCCAUUGCCGAAUGGUAUACUUUCCCAUGUCUUACAUAUAUGGAAAGAGGUUUGUCGGCCCAAUUACACCAACUGUAUUGAACUUACGGAAGGAGCUCUAUAAAGUACCCUAUGAUGAGAUUGAUUGGGACAAGGCUCGCAACCAAUGUGCUAAGGAGGAUCUGUACUGUCCUCAUCCACUGGGACAAGAUAUCUUAUGGACCACUCUUCACAAAUUUGUUGAACCAGUUCUGUCACAUUGGCCUGGAAGCAAAUUGAGGGAGAAAGCUUUGAAAAAUGCCAUGCAACAUAUUCAUUACGAAGAUGAGAACACCCAAUAUGUUUGCAGUGGUGCUGUAGGGAAGGUACUGAAUAUGCUUUGUUGCUGGAUAGAAGAUCCUAACUCAGAGGAAUUCAAACUUCAUAUUCCAAGGAUCUAUGAUUAUUUGUGGGUUGCUGAAGAUGGCAUGAAGAUGCAGGGUUAUAAUGGCAGCCAGCUUUGGGACACAGCUUUUACAGUUGAAGCUAUACUGGCUACGGAACUCACAGAAGAGUUCUGUCCUACUCUUAAACUAGCCCAUGACUACAUAAAAAAUUCACAGAUUCUUCACGACUGCCAUGGAGAUUUGAGUGACUGGUAUCGUCAUAUAUCUAAAGGUGCAUGGACCUUUUCAACCGCUGAUCAUGCUUGGCCUGUAUCAGAUUGCACUGCAGUAGGAUUAAAGGCCUCAUUGUUGUUGUCAAAGAUUUCUCCGGAAAUGGUUGGCGUACCAAUAGAAGCCAAUAGACUUUAUGAUGCUGUCAAUUGUCUGCUUUCUUGGAUGAACGGAAAUGGUGGCUUUGCAUCAUAUGAACUCACCAGGUCUUAUGCCUGGCUGGAGUUUCUCAAUCCUUCUGAGAUCUUUGGGGACAUAAUGAUUGAUCAUCCUGUUGUUGAAUGUACUUCGGCAGUGAUCCAGGCCCUGGUUGCAUUCAGAAAGCACUACCCUGAGCAUCGAAGGGAGGAGAUUGACAAAUGCAUCCAUAAAGCCGAUAACUUCAUUCUGAGUAUUCAAAGGAGUGACGGCUCAUGGUAUGGCUCCUGGGGUAUUUGUUUCACCCAUGGGGCGUGGUCUGCAGUGAGGGGAUUGGUCGCUGCUGGAAGGACAUUCAAGAACUGUCCGGCUAUCAGGAAGGCAUGCGGCUUCUUGUUGUCGAAAGAGGUUCCUUCUGGUGGCUGGGGAGAAAGCUAUUUGUCAUGCAGGGAUAAGGUUUACACUGAACUUGAAGGAAGGCGCCCCCAUGUAGUCAACACCAGUUGGGCCAUGCUGGCCCUAAUUGAUGCUGGGCAGGCCGAGAGAGACCCAGGGCCUCUGCACCGGGCAGCGAAGGUCUUGAUCAACCUACAACUAGAGGAUGGAGAGUUCCCUCAGCAAGAGAUCAUCGGCAUCUUUGCCAGGAACUGCGCCAUCACCUACUCCCAGUAUCGGAACAUCUUCCCUAUCUGGGCGCUUGGAGAGUACCGCUGCCGCGUCCUGGGCAGCGGAUCGCCAGAGGGACAUGGCGAUGCCUAG